CCUACGGGAUGCACCAGUGGGGAAUAUUGCACAAUGGGCGCAAGCCUGAUGCAGCCAUGCCGCGUGUAUGAAGGAGGCCUUAGGGUUGUAAAGUACUUUCAGUUGGGAGGAAGGCGUUGAUGCUAAUAUCAUCAACGAUUGACGUUACCAACAGAAGAAGCACCGGCUAACUCCGUGCCAGCAGCCGCGGUAAUACGGAGGGUGCGAGCGUUAAUCGGAAUGACUGGGCGUAAAGGGCAUGUAGGCGGAUGAUUAAGUUAGGUGUGAAAUCCCCGAGCUCAACUUGGGAAUUGCAUUUAAAACUGGUCGUCUAGAGUAUUGUAGAGGAAGGUAGAAUUCCACGUGUAGCGGUGAAAUGCGUAGAGAUGUGGAGGAAUACCGGUGGCGAAGGCGGCCUUCUGGACAGAUACUGACGCUGAGAUGCGAAAGCGUGGGGAGCAAACAGGAUUAGAUACCCGAGUAGUC
This 465-nucleotide ribosomal RNA is filed under the name uncultured bacterium. RNAcentral describes it as "bacterial SSU rRNA". It matches the Rfam family "Bacterial small subunit ribosomal RNA", at positions 338 to 795 of the family's 1533-position model. The record is from RNAcentral.